UUUCUUUCUUUAGUCGUGUCCGCACUCUCUACGUAAUAACACACCUGCGAAACCUCGUUUAAGUCCUUCGCACCCGUUUUGCAGUUAAGAAAAACCCGCCAACGAACAACGGAAUGGAUGUGGCACAUUGUAAUUUGGAGGGCAAUGCCGAUGCCGUAGAGUUUUGCCCGCACGAUUCAUACCGCCAUGUUCUGGCAGCUUCAACGUACACGCUGCAAGAGGGUGAACAACCGAUCCGAGCUGGAAGUAUAUCGCUGUUCAACGUUGGUGCUGACUUGGGUCGGCUUGAUUUGUUUCAGCGGAUUGAAACGGCAGGGAUUUUCGAUAUAAAGUGGAACCCAGUUGGAGACAGCGUGAGUCCUCUUCUUGCUCAAGCCGACGCUGAUGGUUACUUGAGAAUUCACGGUCUUGAAUCCUGCUCAGAUGAAGCACAAGGGUUAUCUUUGAGGGAGAUAACUGAUGAAAAUAUCAGUUCAUCCAUGUGCCUUUUCCUGGAUUGGAACCCUUCAGCCACUUCUAUCACCGUGGGGCUUUCGAAUGGUUCUGUCGCUAUAGCUUCAAUUGGGGAAUCCCAACUUGAGACACAAGAAACAUGGAAAGCGCAUGAUUUUGAGGUUUGGACAGCUUCGUAUGAUAUCCACCAGCCCCAGUUGGUGUAUAGUGGUUCAGAUGACUGCAAAUUCAAAUGCUGGGAUUUGCGAGACGGUCCUUCGAAGUUGGCAUUUCAGAACACCAAAGCCCAUACAAUGGGAGUUUGCUGCAUAGCCAAAAAUCCCUACGAUUCGAAUUGUGUAGUUACUGGCAGCUAUGAUGAGUACCUGAGGUUUUGGGAUGUAAGAUCAAUAUCAACACCAGUUAAUGAAACCUCUGUUUGCUUAGGGGGAGGAGUGUGGAGAAUCAAGUUCCAUCCUUUUGUGGCCGGUCUCGUCUUGACAGCUUGUAUGCACAACGGAUUUUCGAUAGUCAAGAUUAAUGAGGAUAAAACUGAAGUGAUUGAAACGUACAGCAAGCACGAGUCACUUGCAUAUGGAGCUGACUGGCACAGAGACAAAUCGUUCCAUGAAGGCAAAAGGAAUAGCACUUUAGUUGCUACUUGCUCAUUUUAUGACCGUCUUCUUCGUUUAUGGAUGCCGGAAAGUGAUUUGCAGGAUUCUGUGCUUUGAGUACAUCAUUUUAGUUGAGCUGGGAACGAUCCAAUGGCGUCAAUUUGACAGAUUCUGCAUUCGCACAUUAUUAGGGAACUCUACAGCUACAACAAGCCAAGUGAAGGAAAGAUUUUAGGUAAAUGUGAAGGUCAUGUUUGUGUACAAAAAAAAAGACAAUAUUCUUUUGUUUUGUCUCCUUUUAUUGUUUGUCGCGUUGGUUUAUUACACUGCAAUGACCGAGGUAUACCAUACACCAAAUCCUUAUCCCAUCUAACGAUCAAAAACCCUAGAGUAUAAGAUACUUCGAAGCAUAAUAGACCCCCAUUCCAAUAAUUAAAAAUUUAACGGCAAAAAAUCU
Malus domestica (apple) is the source of this 1503-nucleotide RNA transcript. RefSeq lists it as uncharacterized. NCBI's taxonomy places the organism in Eukaryota, Viridiplantae, Streptophyta, Magnoliopsida, Rosales, Rosaceae. The record is from RefSeq and is a predicted model, not a curated record.